This 253-nucleotide ribosomal RNA is filed under the name uncultured bacterium. RNAcentral describes it as "partial 16S ribosomal RNA". It matches the Rfam family "Bacterial small subunit ribosomal RNA", at positions 524 to 776 of the family's 1533-position model. The record is from RNAcentral.
UACGGAGGAUGCAAGCGUUAUCCGGAAUGAUUGGGCGUAAAGCGUCCGCAGGUGGCUGUGUAAGUCUGCUGUUAAAGAGUGAGGCUCAACCUCAUAAAGGCAGUGGAAACUACAUAGCUAGAGUAAGGUAGGGGUAGAGGGAAUUCCUGGUGUAGCGGUGAAAUGCGUAGAGAUCAGGAAGAACACCGGUGGCGAAAGCGCUCUGCUGGACCUUAACUGACACUGAGGGACGAAAGCUAGGGGAGCGAAUGGG